Molecule: long non-coding RNA, 1815 nt
Organism: Coturnix japonica (Japanese quail)
Lineage: Eukaryota; Metazoa; Chordata; Aves; Galliformes; Phasianidae
Source: Ensembl
AUGGUCUAUGGGGAUCUAUGGGGCUCUAUGGGGCACUAUGGGGUUCAUAUGCGGAUUCUAUGGGGCUCUAUGGGGUUCAAUGGGGUUCUAUAGGAUUUUAUAUAGCGGUUCUAUGGGGUUCAAUGGGUUCUAUGGGGUUCUAUGGGGCUCUAUGCGGCUCUAUGGGGCUCUAUGGGCACUAUGGGUGUCUAUAGGCUUCCAAUUGGAGUCUAUGGGGCUCUAUGGGGCUCUAUGGGGUCUGAAUGGCGGACUUAAUGGGGCUCUAUGGCGGCACUAUGGGGCUCUUAUGCGGGUCUAUGGGCAUCUUAUGGGCUCUAUGGGGCACUAUGGGAUUCUAUGGGGCUCUUAUGGGGUUCAAUGGGUCUAUAGGGUUUAUCGGGUUUCUAUGGCGGUUCAAUGGGGUUCUUAUGGGUUCUGAUGGGUCUAUGGGGUUCUAUGGGUUCUAUGGGGUUCAAUGGGGUUCUAUGGGGUGCAAAUGGGGCUCUAUGGGGCUCUAUUUGGGGUUGCUAUGGGGUUCUGCCUGAUGGGGUUUCUAUGGCAUUCUAUUGGGGCUCUAUGGGGUUCUAUGGGGCUCUAUGGGCUACUAUGGGGCUCUAUGGGUCUAAUGGGAUCUAUGGGCUCUAUGGGCACUAUGGGGUUCUAUGGGAUUCUAUGGGGCUCUAUGGGGUUCAAUGGGGUCUAUAGGGUUUUAUAGGGUUCUAUGGGGUUCAAUGGGGUUCUAUGGGGUUCUAUGGGGUCUAUGGGGUUCUAUGGGGCUCUAUGAGGUUCUAUGGGGUUCUAUGGGGUUCAAUGGGGUUCUAUGGGGUUCAAUGGGGCUCUAUGGGGCUCUAUGGGGCACUAUGGGGUUCUAUGGGGCUCUAUGGGGCUCCAUGGGGUUCUGUGGGGCUCUAUGGGGCUCUAUGGGGUUCUAUGGGGUUCUAUGGGGCUCUAUGGGGUUCUAUGAGGCUCUAUGGGGUUCUAUAGGGUCUAUGGGGCUCUAUGGGGUGUCUAUGGCACCCUAUGGAGCUCUAUGGGGCUCUAUGGUUUCUAUAGGGUUCAGUGGGGCUCAAUGGGGCUCUAUGGGGAUCUAUGGGGCUCUAUGGGGAUCUAUGGGUCCCUAUGGGACACUGUGGGGUUCAAUGGGGCUCUAUGGGGCUCUAUGGGGUUCUAUGGGGUUCUAUGGGGCUCUAUGGGGCUCUAUGGGGUUCUAUGGGGCUCUAUGGGGCUCUAUGGGGCUCUAUGGGGUUCUAUGGGGCUCUAUAGGGUUCUUUAGGGCUCUAUGGGGUUCUAUGGGGCCCUACAGGGGUCUAUGGGGCUCUAUGGGGCUCUAUGGGGCUCUAUGGGGCUCUAUGGGGCUCUAUGGGGUUCUAUGGGGAUCUAUGGGGCUCUAUGGGGCUCUAUGGGGUCUAUGGGGCUCUAUGGGGAUCAAUGGGGCUCUAUGGGGCUCUAUGGGGUUCUAUGGGGCUCUAUGGGGUUCUAUGGGGUUCUAUGGGGUCUAUGGGGUGUCUAUAGGGUUCAAUGGGGCUCUAUGGGGCUCUAUGGGGUCUAUGGGGAUCUAUGGGGCUCUAUGGGGCUCUAUGGGGUUCUAUGGGGUUCUAUGGGGCUCUAUGGGGUUCUAUGGGGUUCUAUGGGGCUCUAUGGGGUUCUAUGGGGUUCUAUGGGGUCUCUAUGGUCUGUCAUGGGCCUAUGGGGCUCUAUGGGGUUUUCUAUGGGGCUCUAUGGGGGUUCUAUGGGCUCUAUGGGGCUCUAAUGCGGGUUUUAUGGGCUCUAGGGGUCUAUGGGUGUCUAAUGGGUUCUUAUGGGGUCCUAUAUGGGUUUUCUAUGCGGGCUUUUGGC